CCUACGGGAGGCAGCAGUGAGGAAGAGGGGGCAAGGGACGAGAGUCUGAACCAGCCAAGGAGCGUGAAGGAUGACUGCCCUAUGGGUUGUAAACUUCUUUUAUAUGGGAAUAAAACGUUCCACGUGUGGGAUUUUGUAUGUACCAUAUGAAUAAGGAUCGGCUAACUCCGUGCCAGCAGCCGGGGUAAUACGGAGGUUCCGAGCGUUAUCCGGAUUUAUUGGGUUUAACGCGAGCGUAGGUGGAUUGUUAAGUCAGUUGUGAAAGUUUGCGGCUCAACCGUAAAAUUGCAGUUGAAACUGGCGGUCUUGAGUACAGUAGAGGUGGGCGGAAUUCGUGGUGUAGCGGUGAAAUGCUUAGAUAUCACGAAGAACUCCGAUUGCGAAGGCAGUUCACUGGACUGCAACUGACACUGAGGCUCGAAAGUGUGGGUAUCAAACAGGAUUAGAUACCCCGGUAGUC
Molecule: ribosomal RNA, 460 nt
Filed under: uncultured bacterium
Lineage: Bacteria
Description: partial 16S ribosomal RNA
Rfam family: Bacterial small subunit ribosomal RNA
Source: RNAcentral